CCUAGGAGGGAAGAUUGAAAAAAAAUGUCUGGAGAAGAGAAGACAGAGGGGACAUAACAGUUUUCAAAUACAUAAAAGGUUGUUACAAGGAGGAGGGAGAAAAAUUGUUCUUCUUAACCUCUGAGGAUAGGACAAGAAGCAAUGGGCUUAAAUUGCACCAAGGGCGGUUUAGGUUGGACAUUAGGAAAAACUUCCUAACUGUCAGAGUGGUUAGGCACUGGAAUAAAUUGCCUAGGGAGGUUGUGGAAUCUCCAUCAUUGGGGAUUUUUAAGAGCAGGUUGGACAAACACCUGUCAGGGAUGAUCUAGAUAAUACUUAGUCCUGCCUUGAGUGCAGGGGACUGGACUGGAUGACCUCUCAAGGUCCCUUUCAGUUCUAUGAUUCUAAGCAUAAGAGAACUGCUGUGACUAGAGGAAGAUAACCUUGAGGAUAAUGACAAUAGGAUGUCAGAUUGACAGCAUCAGAUCAGGAGUAAGAUCCAGACCUCUGAAUUCAGGGGGAAGCCUGGAGUCCAUCACAAUAAAAGUUUCAAGGCUUGAUCUAAAGUUAAUUGAAGUCCAUGUAAGUCUUUUCACUGAUGUCAAUAGGCUUUGGAUCAGGCCCUGAGCGAGCAGAUAUGAAUAGUGAGCCAGCACUCUUACAGUUCCCUUGUGCUCCAAGUCUGCAUUUCUACCAUUGGCUUUUGUCUGUGUUUUUCCAGCAAUGAGUGAUAGCAGAACCAUAAAAAUCUUUGUUGUAGAGAUUUUGGGGCUCAUUGGCCUCAAUUCAAAGCCCAGAAAAGUCAAUGGCAAUCAUUCCAGUAACUUUAAUAAGCACUGAAUUGGGCCCAUUCUGAAUGAGUUUCAAAUUUCUUAAACUCUGUGAAUCCCCUUUUCCAGCCACGUUCAGUCGGAAGCAAAGAUGGCAGAACAUCUUUUCCUUUCUCUUUCUAAGCAGUUAGAGACUUGAACUCAUGCUUGCAAGCUUUUGAACAGCUGUGAAGCAUAUCCCAUGGUCUGAUUGUCUUCUGACACUGGAUGUAAAUCAGAAGUAACUUCAUGGCAAUCAACAGUGUUACAGUUGUUUAAAAUUGGUGUGUUAGACAAAGCAGGCCUCAAGUUUAUAGAUACGGUCUGAAAAGUUCAGCUAGAGCUGGUCCAAACACCAGUAUCAUUUUUUCAAGAAUUUUGUAAACUUUUGCAAUUUUUGGAAAUUUUUACUUUUUUUUUUAAUUAACAUUUUUCAAUUAAAAGCUUGGAAAAAAUUAACAUCUGGGAGGAGGGGGAUCAAAAAUAGAAUUUUCAUCAAAAACUGAAAGUUCUGAAAAGGUCAGUCACUUCUAGCUAUAUUGUAAGAGCAUGAAUGUUUGUGACUUGGAAAGUUCUGUUUCAGGAUAUCAUACCAUGUUUGAUGAAGUUUAGAAGGAAAAGGAAAUGAUGAAAGACUAGAUUUAAUCCAAGUCUCUGUUUGAAGUGUAAAAGUGAUAAUUAUGUAGUCAAAAUUUAAAAAAAAAUGAUAAUUAUCUCAGCAAAGAGGAUCAAGCACUGGAUGAUUUACGAGGAGCGGCUGAGGGAAAGGGGGUUAUUUAGUUUGUAGAAGAGAAGAGUGAGGGGGGAUUUGAGAGCAG
This is a long non-coding RNA of Chrysemys picta bellii (western painted turtle), 1606 nucleotides long. NCBI's taxonomy places the organism in Eukaryota, Metazoa, Chordata, Testudines, Emydidae. The record is from Ensembl.